UUGGCAGGACAGAUGAACCGUCUCUAUUUGAUGGACUGUUCAUUGCCCAGGACAGUUAAGUGUCUGCCUUUGUCGACAAAAUCAGGAGCCAAAUGACGAGUAAAAGUGGCCGUGAUGUUUGUGGACCGGCAACAUUCACAGCUUGCAGAGAAACCUCACUCAAAUCCAGCGCCAAGGUGGAUGAGGAAGGCCUGCAAAUAGCUGUGUGCAGACAUGGCAUCUUGCUACAAGGCCUAAAUCACUACCGGGGUGAAAUAUAUGUCUACCCAAUGUUCCUGCAGAAGGAGCUGGCUGAAGUUGCGAAUGCAACAUUCUUUUAUAUGGAGGUCGCCUGCAGGUACUGGUCUUAUUUAGAGAAGAUGGCAGCGAAGUUCCCUGAGCUCCAACCACUUACAGAGAUGAAACCUUUUCUCUCUGUAAUGCACGCCAAGGCCCACACAGGCAAAUGCGAGGUGAAGUGGGGUGGCAGAAGCCUGGAAGGUGCUGGAAAUACUGUCGGCGACGAAGUGGAACAGGUUAACAGCUUCCUCUCAAGGGCAGCUCUGACAACAAAAUACAUGACCAAAUCAGCUAGAGCAGAUAUGAUAACCGUGCUGGCUAUGCAAUGGAACCACAGGAAGGUAGAGAAUCUCCACAAGACACUGGCAAAGAGAUUUGUCAAAACUACACAGAGAGCACAAACUGAAGUGGACAAUCUUGUCUCAAGCAAGAGCUGAACAUCUCCCUGGAGGACACGGAGCAGUGGAUGUUGGAGGUCAAGCAAUGGGCAGCCACUGGAGAAACAUGGAGCCCAAAGUAGCCAGGAGGAGCUCCAGAGAGAAAUUGAUUAAAUGAUUUAUUCCCUCCGAAGAAAGAAACACGAUCUCUAUCGACAAAAUGCCCCAUCAGCUACACUGAAGGAAACUUCAGAUUAGAUACAUACCAUCCAGAGUAAGGUUGCCACAUCACCAACACCUCGGUAUGGCCCUGAGUAAAGAAAGACAGUUUCUCCAAGCGAUAUAACAGAAGAGGGGUACAGGGGACUGCACUGCUGUCUUUUACACCAUCGAUACCUUCUGGAGCAGAAACUGAGCAGAGUCACCAGCACCUACACCUGUAUUGGCACGGACUCGUCUUUUCUCAUGAUGGAGGAAUACAUUGAAGACGGUGAUGAGGACAACGAACAGGAUGGUGAUGAGGACGGUGACGAGGACAACGAACAGGACAAUGAACAGGACCACUAACAGGACUUUUAGAUAUUGUUCUGUGUACAAAAGUUGACAUCUUACAGAGGACUUAAGUUGUGCUCAGGCAGGGCCAUAGAGAACCGCAGUGACGCGUCCUUAAACCCGGAAGUAAACUUCUUCCGGUUCCUUAGACAAAAAAGCAAUGCAAUUUCUCCAUAGGAUUUUGGAAAAUAGCUCGAAAUACUGUAAGGUCUGUGGUUGACACACAGUUAAGAGACGGAUCACGUUUUGUUCAGCCGGAUAAUCUCCACAUGUCUACCCUACUUUUAUAAUUUUCAAAUCAUAAAUCUAAUCGAUAGAUUUAUGAUUCGAUAGAUUUAUGAUUCAAAAAUUAUAAGAGAUGGGUAACUAUUAUUAUUUUUAAAUGUCACUGCCAAGAAUAGGAAUUCACGUACAAAUGAUUACAAGAAAAAAUGUAAUAUAAAAAUAAAUGGCUGGACAUGACGCAUUAAUGCGACAACAUGAAGCAUUACACAAGUACCUCAACCUUAAAUGAAUAAUAAAUUAUUGUUACUGUAAUUUCAAUAUUUACAUUAGCAGUCAUGCUUAAGACUGAAACACUCCUUUUAAACAAAGCAUACGAAAAUCCAAUAAGAUAAGAUAAAACUUGGUUCCAUGGAAGCAUUAUUGUCAUUGUUUAUUUAUAUAUUUUUUUUAAAUAUUUUCUAAAACAAACCUCCCUGAUUCUUUCCCUCAGUACUUUUUUGCAGGGGAAAGUGGCUGACCCUUGAUGAAUGGGACAUUCUGCAAGGAAUUAAAAGAUGACACUGAGGACACAGUAGGAGUCAGGCCGGAGGACACAGGAGGAGUCAGGCCGAAGGACAGAGCUGGAGUUAGGCUGGAGGACACACGAGGAGAUUGGCCGGAGGACACAGGAGGAGUCAAGC
RNA transcript from Gymnodraco acuticeps, 2113 nucleotides. RefSeq lists it as uncharacterized. The transcript has 10 exons. The record is from RefSeq and is a predicted model, not a curated record. NCBI's taxonomy places the organism in Eukaryota, Metazoa, Chordata, Actinopteri, Perciformes, Bathydraconidae.